Long non-coding RNA from Peromyscus californicus insignis, 2802 nucleotides. RefSeq lists it as uncharacterized. NCBI's taxonomy places the organism in Eukaryota, Metazoa, Chordata, Mammalia, Rodentia, Cricetidae. The transcript has 2 exons. The record is from RefSeq and is a predicted model, not a curated record.
UGAACUCAACAACAGCAGUAGCCAACACCAAGUCCUUGCAAAGCGCCCAGGUCACCCGCCGGGCUGCUAACCUCGGACGGGGUUCGCCUCAAGUUGAGGGCCAGGGGUUCCACCUUCUCCCCUUUUCCAGACUAUCUGACACCCUAAGCUGGGAGUUUAUAUGGCAAAACAGUCCUGGGGACGUUAGCACCCAGCAUUCUCUGGGCUCUGCCCGCAAGGGUAGCCACUUGAACUGUAGUGAACCCUGCUGAGUCCCUGACUCCCCUGAGCUUACAUCCCUACGGUGAGGCCGGAACGUGGUCCUGGGUGGUGACCUCCGGGGCCCAGGCCCCCCUCUUGAAGCUGCGCGUUCUAAAGCAUCUGGAGCUCAUUCUCAGAACCCGGGCCUGAGGGUAACACAGAGUUUCGGGGUGGCAGAGCCGGGUAGCUGUUCUCAGUCACUCUCCCGCUUCUGGGGAGCCACCCAGUCAGCCUGUGGCAGUGGGGUUCACAGACGCCUGGCUCCGGAGCCAGGAGGAAGCGCGAGGCUGGGUAAGGCCGGAGGCGCCGAGGUGCACAUCGGUCCCCGGGUUCCCGCGGCGGCGCUUCCUCCCCACUUUCCUGGGGCAGCGCAGCUGCGGGAGGCCGGUGCGGGGCUCGCCCCUUCGUCUUUCCCCGCGGGGAGAUGGAGUUUGGAGAGGACUGGGACCCGCGAGGCGGGGGUCACCAAGGUCGAACGAAAUUGGCACAGCUUCCGCAUCUGGGCAGUGUCCGCUUCGUGAGUUGUGGGUCCUGAUGAGCCUGACUCCUACCUACAGUCCCCACAGGAGACCUCCAAGGGACCCGGAGGCCUGGCAGUAGCCUAAAAACAGUGCUUUGGUUUUUGUCAGUCUGUCCGUCCGUCUGUCUGUCUACCUAGUUCAGUUGCGCUUUCCCAUCCCGACAGCUUUCUUCCUACCGACUGUAGCAAGGCUCUAAGCAAUAAGCGAGGUGAAGCGGGCUAGUCGGAAGCUUGUGAAGCGCUAGUCAGAAAUGUGUCUUUGACCCCCCGCAGCCAGCCGAGGCGAAGGCCAAGCUCUAAGGCCUCAAACCCCACUCACUGCUCGAGCCACUGCUCUGACGCUGGCCUCUCGCUUUGGGUUAGGGUCGGGGUCAGGGCGCGCCCCGUGGUGUCCAGCUCUGCAAAGCCAGAACGGCUGCGGAUGCUUCAGUCAACAACGUUGGGGACCUUGGCCAGGCCAAAUAGUCUGGAGUAUGGAGGGAAGCCGGGCCUGGAGCUGGGGAAAGCUCCCUAGGUGGUUCCGAGGUGCGGACCCCGCUGAGAACAGGCGGUGAAAGUCAAAAGACUACGUUUGGAAAGGAAGGCACAACAAUGCCCACUUGGGUGCCAGGAGGCCGAGUGGGUCAGUGCCCAGUGUCUGCAGGUAGGUUGAGGCACAGACAUCCACAUCCCAGGCCUGGGAUGUGGUUCCAGGCAGGCGCGCACCCUCAUGCAUGUACAUGCACACGCGUCAGGGACACACGCCUGCACCCACUGUCUGCGCCCCGCGUGGCUGGCUGCUCCGGUACCCGACAGCAGGCGACCGCGCGCUCCUCCAGCCCGGGGCGCUGCGCAGAGCCCCCGCCCGGCCGCGCGGUGCUUGCUCUGGCUCUUUGUUAUGUUAAUUCCCUUCCCAGCUGGUGCCAGCUGCCUGCACAAUGGGCGCCCUGAGCCCCGCCAGCCCUCGCCAGUCCUCACCAGCCCGUGAGUGGGGGCGGGGCGGACCCUGCGCCCUGUGUAGAUGGGGCGGGCGCGUCCUGAUGAGUGAGCGUUGCGGAGCGAGCAGCACCUCCCCCCACUCCGGCAAGACCGCGCCUCCGGGGCCUGCGGGGCGAGCUGUGAUUCUUUCCAGUCGCCCGGGCUGCCUGCCCUCUAGGUGCCAGGGCUAGAUGGAAAGUAAAAGGCUUCUGGGCGGCUCCGGAGCCAUGAGGAUGAAAGAGGACAGCCGCCUCCAGACCACACAGCUAAUCCCGCCAUAAACCUCGAGCAAAUACCGGGAGAGGAGGAGCAGGCCCACUACAGAUGUGGAGUGCAGCCUCCGGGGAUCCCCAAAUUAAAACCCGGGCAGGAGAGGCACUUGGACCACCACCAAAUGACACUAAUUGGGUUAUGGGACCAUAAUCUUAGCUGCCUUACAGGAAAGCCACUGCCUCUCCUCUGUGCCUGAACUGAGUGGGAAGGUGUCUUGGGGCGACACCUCCAUCUCAGCACUGAGAGGUUUGGGGACAUCUGCAGACUUGGAGAAUGGCGUGAGCAGCUUUCCCAGCUCUGGAAAAGGAAGGCACAGGAAGAAAACCUAGUCCUCUGAUGUUUUUUCCUGUCUCCUGAGAUGUCUUCAGAUUUCCUUCUGGUCACACGGGGAGCCUGUUUCUCAACUUCUUGUAGAGAUGUUUUAAAUGCUGCCCCAGGUAUACUUUAGGACCUGCCGUUCACCCCUGGGUAGCAAAGAGACCAGAGAGAGUCACACAGAACAGCUCACACACUUCACUUUGGUCACCUUGGAGGGCACCUGCAGAUGUUCCCACAACCAUCCAAGCAGGGUUCGAGUGACAACUACCACGUGUCUGAUGCCAGGACUCAGCUGCUCCCGUGGAAUGGCCUGGAUGGAGGCCAGUCUAGCCUGGGCAAGCACAAGCCAAAGCGUGCUUGUGUGGUCCUUCCCACAAAGUGGACACCUGCCUAUGCUCUUCACAACCAACAUCUGUAACAAUUCUUUUCCGUAUGUGUUCUCCCUGGCCCCCAAAGAUAAAAGCAUCUAAUCAGAUUUUUGUUACUUUAAAUCA